GAUGAAGAACGUAGCGAAAUGCGAUAAGUAAUGUGAAUUGCAGAAUUCAGUGAAUCAUCGAAUCUUUGAACGCACAUUGCGCCCGCCAGUAUUCUGGCGGGCAUGCCUGUUCGAGCGUCAUUUCAACCCUCAAGCCCAGCUUGGUGUUGGGGAUCGGCACAGGCGCCCUCGGGCGCCCGCCGUCCCCUAAAUCUAGUGGCGGUCCCGCUGCAGCCUCCUCUGCGUAGUAGUUUUCUCCUCGCAAGGGCAGCUCGGUGGCGACCUCGCCGUAAAACCCCCAACUUCUGAAAGGUCGACCUCGAAUCAGGUAGGAAUACCCGCUGAACUUAAGCAUAUCAAUAAGCGGAGGA
RNAcentral lists this unclassified non-coding RNA (350 nucleotides) under soil metagenome. RNAcentral's name for it is "partial contains 5.8S ribosomal RNA, internal transcribed spacer 2, and large subunit ribosomal RNA". The stretch from base 1 to 120 matches the Rfam family "5.8S ribosomal RNA", at positions 35 to 154 of the family's 154-position model. The record is from RNAcentral.